This is a long non-coding RNA of Archocentrus centrarchus (flier cichlid), 618 nucleotides long. RefSeq lists it as uncharacterized. Lineage: Eukaryota; Metazoa; Chordata; Actinopteri; Cichliformes; Cichlidae. The transcript is spliced from 4 exons. The record is from RefSeq and is a predicted model, not a curated record.
GUUUCCAACAUAUUUGGACAGAAGGAAAUAUUAUGUGCCCCCACCCCCAUGAUCCUGAAAAGGACAAACAGAAGAGAACAGAUGGAUAGAUGACAUAAUAUGUCUACUCACAUGUCCUUGUCUUUCUCUGGAACGCAGAAUAUUCUGUUUAUCUGAACACUUCCUGAGGGAGCAAAUCAAGAUGGCGGCACUUCAGGGAAUUACAUCAUUCACAAACUAGCCCAAAGCGAGGUUGCAUGUGUGCGCCUUUCUACUCUUCAUCUUCUUCAUCCUCACGUCCUCCUUAUUGUUCCAGUUACUUUUGAAAUCUGGCCAGACGCCCCAUCAGAUAUAAUGAGGGAACAUGGAAGCCAAAGUGGAGGUUUGAAAUGGAAACUGCAGCAGAAAGAAGAUUCAGCUGAGAGCACAGUGACUCUCUAACAGCUACUCUAAAUGAUACUCAGCAGAUUCCUGACACUGAAAUGGGAUACAUGAAAUGUACAGAAGACAAUCCAGAGAGGUAUGACAACAGAAAACUAGGACAGGAGGAGGCUAGCCUGGCAAAGCAUGCAGAACAGCAAUAUGUUAGGAGCCAAGAAAGCAGCAGGAGAAGCAUUAUGAAAGAAAUUAUGAGCAAAG